Molecule: ribosomal RNA, 827 nt
Filed under: uncultured bacterium
Lineage: Bacteria
Description: bacterial SSU rRNA
Rfam family: Bacterial small subunit ribosomal RNA
Source: RNAcentral
AUUCGCCCUUAGAGUUUGAUCCUGGCUCAGGACGAACGCUGGCGGCGUGCUUAACACAUGCAAGUCGAACGGUGAACCACAGACGGAGACUUCGGUCAACUGAAGUGGGAAUCAGUGGCGGACGGGUGAGUAACGCGUGAGUAACCUGCCUUUCAGUGGGGAAUAACAUUUGGAAACGAAUGGUAAUACCGCAUAACAUUACGAAACCGCAUGAUUUUGUAAUCAAAGAUUUAUUGCUGAAAGAUGGACUCGCGUCCGAUUAGCUUGAUGGUGAGGUAACGGCCCACCAUGGCGACGAUCGGUAGCCGGACUGAGAGGUUGAACGGCCACAUUGGGACUGAGACACGGCCCAGACUCCUACGGGAGGCAGCAGUGGGGAAUAUUGCACAAUGGGGGAAACCCUGAUGCAGCAACGCCGCGUGAAGGAAGACGGUCUUCGGAUUGUAAACUUCUGUUCUUAGUGAAGAUAAUGACGGUAGCUAAGGAGCAAGCCACGGCUAACUUACGUGCCCAGCAGCCGCGGUAAUACGUAGGUGGCAAGCGUUGUCCGGAAUUACUGGGUGUAAAGGGAGCGCAGGCGGGAAAUCAAGUUGGAUGUGAAAUGUCGGGGCUUAACCCCGGAACUGCAUCCAAAACUGAUUUUCUUGAGUGAAGUAGAGGUAGGCGGAAUUCCGAGUGUAGCGGUGAAAUGCGUAGAUAUUCGGAGGAACACCAGUGGCGAAGGCGGCCUACUGGGCUUUAACUGACGCUGAGGCUCGAAAGUGUGGGGAGCAAACAGGAUUAGAUACCCUGGUAGUCCACACUGUAAACGAUGAUUGAUAGGUGUG